RNAcentral lists this ribosomal RNA (253 nucleotides) under uncultured bacterium. RNAcentral's name for it is "partial 16S ribosomal RNA". It matches the Rfam family "Bacterial small subunit ribosomal RNA", at positions 524 to 776 of the family's 1533-position model. The record is from RNAcentral.
UACGUAGGGUGCAAGCGUUGUCCGGAAUUAUUGGGCGUAAAGAGCUCGUAGGCGGUCUGUCGCGUCGGCUGUGAAAACCCGGGGCUCAACUCCGGGCCUGCAGUCGAUACGGGCAGACUAGAGUUCGGUAGGGGAGACUGGAAUUCCUGGUGUAGCGGUGAAAUGCGCAGAUAUCAGGAGGAACACCUGUGGUGUAGACGGCUUUCUGGACCGUAGCUGACGCUGAGACACGAAAGCGUGGGUAGCAAACAGG